RNAcentral lists this ribosomal RNA (465 nucleotides) under Vreelandella stevensii. RNAcentral's name for it is "partial 16S ribosomal RNA". It matches the Rfam family "Bacterial small subunit ribosomal RNA", at positions 338 to 795 of the family's 1533-position model. The record is from RNAcentral. Lineage: Bacteria; Pseudomonadati; Pseudomonadota; Gammaproteobacteria; Oceanospirillales; Halomonadaceae.
CCUACGGGAGGCUGCAGUGGGGAAUAUUGGACAAUGGGGGGAACCCUGAUCCAGCCAUGCCGCGUGUGUGAAGAAGGCCCUCGGGUUGUAAAGCACUUUCAGUGAGGAAGAACGCCUGGUGGUUAAUACCCAUCAGGAAAGACAUCACUCACAGAAGAAGCACCGGCUAACUCCGUGCCAGCAGCCGCGGUAAUACGGAGGGUGCGAGCGUUAAUCGGAAUUACUGGGCGUAAAGCGCGCGUAGGUGGCUUGAUAAGCCGGUUGUGAAAGCCCCGGGCUCAACCUGGGAACGGCAUCCGGAACUGUCAAGCUAGAGUGCAGGAGAGGAAGGUAGAAUUCCCGGUGUAGGGGUGAAAUGCGUAGAGAUCGGGAGGAAUACCAGUGGCGAAGGCGGCCUUCUGGACUGACACUGACACUGAGGUGCGAAAGCGUGGGUAGCAAACAGGAUUAGAUACCCUAGUAGUC